This is a long non-coding RNA of Juglans regia (Persian walnut), 2001 nucleotides long. RefSeq lists it as uncharacterized. The record is from RefSeq and is a predicted model, not a curated record. NCBI's taxonomy places the organism in Eukaryota, Viridiplantae, Streptophyta, Magnoliopsida, Fagales, Juglandaceae. The transcript has 7 exons.
UUGUAGUUAUUGGUUGAUUUUGUUGAAUUGGAUAUUGGUUGUUGAUGGGUUUUGGUUGGAUUUGUUGUGAUUGUUCAUUGGUGGAUGUUAGAUCGGUGUUGGUUCUAGGACUAUGUUUCCCUUGAUUCUAGGACUAGUAACAGGGCUUUAAGAAAGUUUGACCAUUCCCAUCUUCAGUCUGCUGGAAAUGAGGAGUAUCAAUGUUCAAGGUGAUGCAAGGGGAAAAAGUUUUUAAGGAAAAGGUGUUGGACGAGAUAUUCGGGCCAAACGAUUUGUCCCACACUCAUGUAGAGCCCGUCGACCCCGAGGAGUUCUCCUACCAUAGCUCAACUUCGGAUAUGGAUCAGUCAAGCUCGGAUGACUCAAUGCAGCCUCCUAGUCAUCCAUUGGAGCCUCCAUGUCCCAUUCCUUAGCCCCCACCCCAUGCCAAUAGAGAAUCCUCACCCAUAAGAGAACCUGAACCGAACAUAGAAGAUAUCGAUGUAGCCGCUCCCACAAUGCCUACAACUACCCAGGAACAACCCAAAUGUAGGCGUGGGCUUGCUAAGUACAUUGAGUUCAAGAAGUUGAGAAAGUAUGAAAAAGUGCCGUUAAAUUAAUGACGGCAAGUCGGCACCGUGUUGUUAGAAUGCAUCCAUGUUGACGACAAGGGUAAUGCAAAUAGUUAAACAACACUGUGACAUGAGUUAUGCUAGAUGGACCGAUGUGUCACAGGCUCAGAAGGACAAGUUGAUUGAACGUGUUUGGGGUGACUUUGUGUUGGAUUGGGAUUUGGCGAAUCAUAGAUUGACAGUCUUAAAGCAGCUACGUAAGCAGUUCAAUGCAUUCCGUCACGAAUUACACAAAAAAUAUUUAUCAUACAAAAGUCACGAAGAAGCAUUAGCUUCUGGGAGUAGCAUGGUCGACCCCAUCAUUUGGGAUAAGCUAUGUGCGAGGUGGGGAAGCGAAGAUUUCAAGGCAUAAAUCUCAAGACAAAAUCAAGAGAAUAGAAAGAAGCUAACCAAUAACCACACAGCAGGCCGCAAAUCCUUUGUUAGGAUACUAGAGAAGCAGGCAACGGAUGCGACUUGGUGGAGUUUUAUAAGGAGACUCACUGGUCGAAGAAGAACGGUAAAUUUGUCACCUCAACCACUGAAGACACCUAUAAAAAGAUGGUUGGCAAACUGGAUGAUCUAGAGCCUGAACAACGCACCGAUGAGGCAGCAGCGAGUGUGUUUAGGGAGGUACUUGGGCAUAGACCAGGAUAUGCCCAGGGGCUAGGGGAGAUGGUCAUCCCGGAGUCUACAAGACAACGGGACCGUGAAUAAGAAAAAGAGUACCUUGCCUUGAUUGAACAACACAAGAAAGAUGCCGACAACUACAAGAAAGAUGUCAUGAACUACAAGAAACAGCUUGAUGAAAUGAGGGAUGAAAUGCGCGAACUUCGUGAGAGGCAAAAUGAAACUGAUAACAUGUUGAGGGAAUUCUUCUAAAAUUUCCCGUCUUACAUUGAGUCUCUCCAGUCUCGUGGAGAGACUCAGUGAGCUACCUUCAAAAUGCAUGGGACAGGCUUUUUUGUGUAUUUUGGGCACUUUUUGGUGGUGGGUGGCCAAUAUAUAAAUUUAAACAUAUAUAUAUUUUCACAAAUCUACAUAUAUAUAUAUAUACUUAUAUAUAGUGAAGAUGAAGGUUGUCUACUUUUGCAUCGUUGGAGUCAUUGGGCAGUUGAGGGAAUUUUUGGGCUUUACUGUGUGGAAGUUUGGUUAUAUGUUGAUGAGUUGUUCCAAUUAUCUAGAGGGUGUUGGGAAAGGACCUAACAUAUUGUGGGCUUAGAAGAAUUGCAGCACGAUGAAAGACAAUUCAGUGAAAGAUUAUUGUCAGUGAAAGAUAUGAAGGUUUUUAGAAAUUUUGUUUUCCAUUGAUUCCUUCUCCUAGAUUUUUAUUUUCUCUUCCUCGAUCAAUGCAUUUGCGAGUGUUUAGCAAAUAAUGUAUCCCUCUAGCUACAAUAUAACCACCUUAUGU